ACGGAGGGUGCAAGCGUUAUCCGGAUUCACUGGGUUUAUAGGGUGCGUAGGUGGGUUGGUAAGUCAGUGGUGAAAUCCCCGAGCUUAACUCGGGAACUGCCAUUGAUACUAUCAGUCUUGAAUACCGUGGAGGUCAGCGGAAUAUGUCAUGUAGCGGUGAAAUGCUUAGAUAUGACAUAGAACACCAAUUGCGAAGGCAGCUGGCUACACAAUUAUUGACACUGAGGCUCGAAAGCGUGGGGAUCAAACAGGA
Molecule: ribosomal RNA, 253 nt
Filed under: uncultured prokaryote
Description: partial 16S ribosomal RNA
Rfam family: Bacterial small subunit ribosomal RNA
Source: RNAcentral